AUUUCUCAAAUUUGAAUUUCUUUUUUCCAGGUCGAAAAGUUGGG
This 44-nucleotide non-coding RNA is filed under the name Plasmodium falciparum 3D7. The record is from RNAcentral. Lineage: Eukaryota; Apicomplexa; Aconoidasida; Haemosporida; Plasmodiidae.